UUUUCCUUUUCUAAAAACAUAGUUUGUAUCCCUCCCCCACUCCCUCCUUCCUUCAACAAAUGCUCCCUAGUCACCAGCUGGCUUGUUCUAGGCCUGAGGCUUCAGGCGGAAUGAGCUGACUUCACACUCACAGAGACAGCUGCAUCCUGGAGUGACUGGUGCUCCUGGGGCUGGGAAGGCUUCCUGGAGGCAGUGGUGACCAAAGGGGCACUGACGCAUGAAUAGGAGUUAGUCCGGUUUGGGGGCUAUGGCAGGUGGGAGGAGACAUUCUAGGCUCGGAGGAGAGGUGGAGCUGGGAACUGUGGCAGGUGGGGUGAGAUAAGGGUCCCUGAAGGGCUGGCCAAGGGCUUUGGACUUGAUCUCGAGGGUCAUGGGGAGUCAGUGGAGAGUUGAAGCAGGCCAGAGAGGGAGGCCAGACAUGCACUUUAGAAACUCAUCUGGCUGCGCACAGUUAGGGGUGGGGGGACCAUGAAAUGGGGCUUCCCUUCCCCUUUUGCCUCCCCUCCCCCGCCCUCUGGCCCCCAGCCAGGAGGGCAGCCCUUGACCUCUUCACCCCCAGGAUCAAGGGUCAGGAUGAGUUCAAAUCUCCAUUCCCCACUGCCUGUGAGGCUUUGAUUUCAGGGCCUCCGAAAAGGGCCUGUUUGUGAACAGGAACUCAGGCAGGUUAGCUUCCCUGCACCUCCUUCCAGCACCUUCUCUCCAAACCCUGACUCUGAUAAGCCCCGGCCCCCGCCUAGCAGCCCCUUUCGGCCCUGGAUCACUGCCUCUCCUCCGCGCAGAGGUGGGGGAGGGGGUGGUUCCAUCCCCAAACACAAGCUCUUUUGUUCCACCACUCAGCUCAGCCCUCAGCCCUGCAUCGCACUGAUGGAGGUUUUUCUGGCACUCAGGGAGCCCCAGGUCAGCUGAAGGAUGAGGGGUUGGGGACAGAGGCUGGAGGACAGAUUUCUGGCUACAGCUUUGACCUUGUCCCUCCCCUCCUUGGUUCAAAUCCCCUUCCUUGGCUCCUGCUUACUCUGGGACGGUAAACCUUUUUUUUUUUUUUUUUUUUUUUUUGCUUUUUAGGGCAGCACCUGGGGCUCAUGGAAGUUUCCAGGCCAGGGAAGCUGCAGCUGCCGGACUGCACUGCAGCCUCGGCCACACAGGAUCUGAGCCGUGUCUGCGACCCACACCACAGCUCAAGAAAACACUAGAUCCUUAACCCACUGAGUGAGGCCAGGGAUCAAACUCACAUCCUCAUGGAUAUUAGUCAGGUUCAUAACCACCGAGCCACAACGGGAAUUCCCUGGGAAAGUGAUUCUUAGUCGGGUGCAAUUUUAUCCCAAAGGAAACAUUUUGCAGCAUCUGGAAACAUUUUUGGUUAGGCUGGGGGUUGGGGGCAGUUAAGAUACUGGCAUCUAGUGGGCAGAGGCUGGGGAUGCUGCUAAACACCCUCCAGUGACAGCUGGGUCCCCACAACGGAAUUAUCCAGCUCCAAGUGGCAACAGAGCCAAGGCUGAGACACCCCACCUGAGGGUACAGCCCCCUCACCCUGUGUCCUCAGCCGCUACAAAGUCAGUCACCCCCAAGCCUCAGGCUGGGAAGCCCCAGACACUCGUUCCCACUCUGCACCCUUGCUCUGGCUGUUUCCCUGGCUGGAGUGCCCUCCACCCCCCAGAAGUCAUCCCUGACUCCCUGAUACCAACUGCUCCCUUCCCUGAUCUGCGCUGCCAGCUUUGGCCCUCAGGUGAGCAGAGGCCCCAGGCCCCUCCCGCAGGACUAGGCACUUGGAGCAACCACCGCAGAAUCACAGGAACGCCACGUGGGAUGCAUACUGGCUUUGGAGCCAGCAGGACCAGGGUUCAAAUCCUGCUCUGCCACUUCUGAGCAUUUGGCCAGGGGCAGAUCGCCACAUGUCUCUGUGACUCAGUUUCCUCCUCUGUGAGGUGGGGACAGGCCUUCUAGAGAGAGUUCUGUGAGCUGUGCCUUCUCCCUCCCCUACCCCAUUCCCUGUCUGCCUGAUUCCUCUCGUCCCCAUCCCUCCAUCCCCCCCACCUCUGGCCAAUCGCAGGUGGUGAACCUUCUACUCUUGGGGCCAAGAAGAGGAGAAUGAGAGCGGCCCUCCUACUUCUCCCUAGAAACUGAGCUUUGCCCUGAGCUGCUGAGGACCCUGGAGAAAGACCUUGGACACCGGAGGUGAGGCAGGCCUGGGUGGGCUGCGGUGGCUCAGGGGCGCUGCUGCCCUCUUGGCUCCCCGCCUUCUUGGCCUCCGCCUCCAUGCGCUGAUCUCAGCUUCCCAGCCCCCUUCUGUCUGGGCUGAGC
This 2298-nucleotide long non-coding RNA is filed under the name Sus scrofa (pig). RNAcentral's name for it is "lncRNA (ENSSSCG00005038624.1)". The record is from RNAcentral. Lineage: Eukaryota; Metazoa; Chordata; Mammalia; Artiodactyla; Suidae.